CAAUGGUUAAGGUCUGACUGUGCUGCAUCAAGCACCAAGGGAAAUGCAAAAAGGAACAAGGGUUUGUCCUUGUCCUUAAAAAAGCUCUCCAACCUUAGUCCAGGAGACAAACCUGUAAACAAACAAUAAGGCGUGAAUCAGGGGAAUGUGGAUGAGUCCUGGGAGGUGACAGGCAAUGAACUUGGCGGAGGAAGGGCUCCAAGCUGGAAACAGGUACUAAUUAUGUAGGGGGUGGGGGGGAGAGUCUUCUAUUUUUAAAUCCCCCCCCCCUAGAAUGAGCCAUACUUGAAAACCCCACCUAGAUAAGAAGACAGGGAGUCAUAUAACGCUUAGCCCACAAUGCUUAUUUUUAAAAGUCAUAUAAUACUUGAGACAUCUGAUUACAAUACUUGAGAUGAAAUUAUUUUUCAGUUCUUGGCUUAUUUUCCCUCUAUACACUCUCAUUAGGUCUGGAGCAGUUUCAAGUAGCGUUUUCAUAAAUGGCUUAGCUAUGGGAAAAAAAGACACAAUAUGGGGGGGGUAAAUUUUUAUAUACUACCUAGAGAUGAUUUUGCAAUAUGUAAGAUCAAAAGCCACAAUAUGUGUUUAUUGAAAGUUCUAGCCAGGCAGCCUCUAGGCAAGUCUGUCCUAGGACUAGGAUCAAACAUGUAUAAAAAGAUUUUACUACAGGAAUGCUUUGUCACAAACUUAUUAUUGCAGCACGCUGCUACAAAUGCAUAAACACAGAAAUGGGCACAAAAUUGUAAAUCAACUAUAAUUUUAAAAAUUUAAAUUUAAAAAAUUUAAAAAAUUUAAAUUUAAAAACCGGAGUUCCCGAUGUGGCGCAGUAGUUAACGAAUCCAACUAGGAGCCAUGAGGUUGGUUGCGGGUUCGAUCCCUGCCCUUGCUCAGUGGGUUAACGAUCCAGCGUUGCCGUGAGUAGAAAUGGCAAAAUAAAUAAAUAAAUAAAUAAAUAAAUAAAUAAAUAAAAGGCUUUACAAUAAAAAAAAGGCUUUAAAAACCUAUAUGGUUACUCUUCAGGUAAAUUCAACAUGACAUUUGUCCUAUCAAACAACUAAUUCCUUUUUAAGCAGCUAAAUAUUCACCUACAUCUGUUUUGCAGUAAUUGUGAAUGCAAGCAAAGGCAAUGGAUGAAAUUCAGAUAUAACUGUUUAUAAUUUUCUAUUACUGCUCUUUUUCUUUUUUCUUUUUUUUUUUUUUUUUUUGGCUUUUUAGGGCCGAAUCUGUGGCAUAUGGAGGUUCCCAGGCUAGGGGUCCGACGGGAGCUAUUGCCACCAGCCUACACCACAACCACAGCAACACAGGAUCUGAGCUGCUUCUGUGACCUAUACCACAGCACCGCUGAAUCCUUAACUCACUGAGCCAGGCCAGGGAGCAAACCUGCAUCCUCAUGGAUCUUAGUCGGGUUCAAUAAACACUGAGCCACGACAGGAACUCCCUUCAAUUAUUGCUCUUAAUUCAUUGUUUUCAUCACACCCUAUUUUUUGUAUCUACCUUGCACUUUAAAUUGUCUGUGAAAUUUUUUAACGUGGUUGUCUAAAAGUGUUUGGUGAUGAACUUAGAUUUUUUUUUUUUGGCAACUUUCCUCCAUGGCCAUUUGCCUCAAAGACCUUUCACUCAAGCCAAAGUGUUGUUUGUUUGUUUCCUAAAUUCUGGCAAUACAAAAGCUCUCACAAGUGCCAACUUAACUUUAACAAUGGCAAAAAAAAAAAAAAAAAAAAAGGCUUCUUUACUGGCUUCAGUUACUUUCACUUUUAUUGGUCAGAAAUGAUAGAAGUAAGUGUAUGGGGUUGAUGUCACAUGGCAAAAAUGCAGGUUAAGUUACUCUUCCAUGAGAGAGCUAUAAAGGAAGCAUGAAACAUGUCUAUGCCAAUGUUUAAAUUACUUUCAGGAGUUUCACUGGCACUCCUACUUCAUAAUCCAACUUCUUGGGUAUCUUGUCUAAUUUCUUUCGAUUUUUGAGAAAAUGCACAUGUUUGUAUCACAUAGGUCUUAACCAUUAUGGAAUAUCUUGAUUUAUUUGUGGGAAAAAUCUUUUCAAAUUCUUAGUAACAAUAUGCCAUCGACUCUACUGUCUCCGUCACCAUCAUCUUCUCUCUGUCUUGUAUCAGAAGGUGGCUUUUAAGCCAAAACGUUACUUUUUUUAUCUACAGAUGGUUUGAUAUGCUUUGCCGCAUGGAGAACCUGGCUGCCUUUUGGCUGGUACACUUUUCCAGCUAAAAAUGAGAAAUCGAAGACAGAAAGCUGAGUAGAAACACAGGAUGGGGAAUUCACAUACACUUUUACAGAAUUUUUUUUUUCCUCUAAGAGAUCUGAAUAGUCAGCAUGCUAGUAGCUUUCUGAUUUGAAUAAAAAUAGACAUCACUAUUUUAAUUUCACACACACACACAUACCCCUAUGGAAUUUAAUUUACCAAGAAGGGAGGGAAAGAAGAAAGAAAGGAAGAAAAAAA
RNAcentral lists this long non-coding RNA (2452 nucleotides) under Sus scrofa (pig). RNAcentral's name for it is "lncRNA (ENSSSCG00000054597.1)". The record is from RNAcentral. Lineage: Eukaryota; Metazoa; Chordata; Mammalia; Artiodactyla; Suidae.